UGGCGGCGUGGAUUAGGCAUGCAAGUCGAGCGAGGAAACAUGUAGCAAUAUGUGUUAUUCGAGCGGCGUAAGGGGCAGUAAUACCUGGGAACGUACCCUGAGGUCGGGGAUAGCUGCUAAAAAUGGCGAGUAAUACCCGAUGAUCUUGAGAAAGCAAAGGCUUGCCGCCUUCGGAGCGGCCCAGGCGAUAUUAGCUAGUUGGUGAGGUAACGGCUUACCAAGGCAAAGAUGUCUAGCGGGUGUGAGAGCACGACCCGCGCCACUGGCACUGAGACACUGGCCAGACACCUACGGGUGGCUGCAGUCGAGAAUCUUCGGCAAUGAGCGCAAGCUUGACCGAGCAACGCCGCGUGCGGGAUGAAGGNCUUCGGGUCGUAAACCGC
Molecule: ribosomal RNA, 383 nt
Filed under: uncultured bacterium
Lineage: Bacteria
Description: bacterial SSU rRNA
Rfam family: Bacterial small subunit ribosomal RNA
Source: RNAcentral